CCUACGGGACGCAGCAGUGAGGAAUAUUGGUCAAUGGCCGGAAGGCUGAACCAGCCAAGCCGUGUGAAGGACGAAGGUGCCAAGCAUUGUAAACUUCUUUUGUCAAGGGACAAAAUCAGGCUCGAGAGCCUGACCGAGGGUACUUGAAGAAAAAGCAUCGGCUAACUCCGUGCCAGCAGCCGCGGUAAUACGGAGGAUGCGGGCGUUAUCCGGAUUUAUUGGGUUUAAAGGGUGCGUAGGCGGGUUAUCAAGUCAGCGGUAAAAUCGUGGAGCUCAACUCCAUCCAGCCGUUGAAACUGAUGAUC
Molecule: ribosomal RNA, 305 nt
Filed under: uncultured bacterium
Lineage: Bacteria
Description: bacterial SSU rRNA
Rfam family: Bacterial small subunit ribosomal RNA
Source: RNAcentral